AAGUGACAAAGAUGCCGUCGUGAUUGUCGAUCCAAAACCAUCCAGUAGGGGACCGAUGGUAUCUCGGGUGCCACCCAUGCCUGAACCAGAAUUGGCCAAUAUAGAGUUGGUCGUAUCUCAGGUGCCGCCCACACUUGAAUAGAUGGUGGUUCCCAUAGGUUAGUCAUCCACACAGAAAUGUGAGAAGGCACCAGAAGUUUUGACUGACGAUGGGGCUUCAAACUUUAUGGAGCUCUUUGACAUUCGGAUUCCUGUUGGUGAGUUAGCUUUGGCGAACCCAAAGUUGGCUAAGCGACUUCUGGAGGAUGCACUUCUCCUGAUUGACAGGGAGAAUAGGAAGAGUCAGACCAUAUCCGACAUGUUUUCAUCUUAUUAUCUGACGAUCCUAAGCAUAAGUUGGUACUUCAUCUUCCAUCUACCUUUCUUAUAUUUGACUUUUUUUUUAACUCUCUUCUUCUUUUCAGCUAGUGCAUGAUAUGUCGGCACUAGAGAGAGGGUAUAGGGCGAUCGUGGAUCUCCAUCGAUCAUGGGCUGAUAAAGUUGCGGCUGCCAAUGCCGACAAAGCCAUUACCAUCGAACAUCUUCA
This 586-nucleotide long non-coding RNA is filed under the name Elaeis guineensis (African oil palm). RNAcentral's name for it is "long non-coding RNA (EGUI_LNC047243)". The record is from RNAcentral. Lineage: Eukaryota; Viridiplantae; Streptophyta; Magnoliopsida; Arecales; Arecaceae.